This 492-nucleotide ribosomal RNA is filed under the name uncultured bacterium. RNAcentral describes it as "partial 16S ribosomal RNA". It matches the Rfam family "Bacterial small subunit ribosomal RNA", at positions 29 to 507 of the family's 1533-position model. The record is from RNAcentral.
AGUGAACGCUGGCGGUAGGCCUAACACAUGCAAGUCGAACGGCAGCACAGUAAGAGCUUGCUCUUACGGGUGGCGAGUGGCGGACGGGUGAGGAAUACAUCGGAAUCUACUUUUUCGUGGGGGAUAACGUAGGGAGACUUACGCUAAUACCGCAUACGACCUACGGUUGAAAGCAGGGGAUCUUCGGACCUUGCGCGAUUGAAUGCGCCGAUGUCGGAUUAGCUAGUUGGCGGGGUAAAGGCCCACCAAGGCGACGAUCCGUAGCUGGUGUGAGAGGAUGAUCGGCCACCUGAGAACUGAGACAGGGUCCAGACUCCUACGGGAGGGAGCAGUGGGGAAUAGGGGACAAUGGGCGCAAGCCUGAUCCAGCCAUACCGCGUGGGUGAAGAAGGCCUUCGGGUUGUAAAGCCCUUUUGUUGGGAAAGAAAAGCAGCAGGUUAAUACCCCGCUGUUCUGACGGUACCCAAAGAAUAAGCACCGGCUAACUUCGUG